CAGGGUUCGAUUCCGGAGAGGGAGCCCGAGAAACGGCUACCACUUCCAAGGAAGGCAGCAGGCGCGCAACUUACCCUAAUCUCGAUUCGAGGAGGUAGUGACAAGAAUACCGAUGCGGGACCCUACGGGUGCCGCGUUCGGAAUGAGUACGAUUCGAACCACCUAACGAGGAACGAUCGGAGGGCAAGUCUGGUGCCAGCAGCCGCGGUAAUUCCAGCUCCAAUAGCGUACGUUAAAGUUGCUGCAGUUAAAAAGCUCGUAGUUGAACGUUCGGGUUCCGCGGACGGGGCCGCCCCGCGAGGGACGGCGCCGCCCCGGGGCUCGUGAUAUCUCAUCUCGCCGCCCGUCGCGAGGCGGACGGAGGGAUGGAUGAGGUUACCUGGAAAAAAAUCGGGGCGAUCUAGGCGGGCGAACCUCGCCAACGAACGAUCGGACAUGGG
This 440-nucleotide ribosomal RNA is filed under the name uncultured eukaryote. RNAcentral's name for it is "bacterial SSU rRNA". It matches the Rfam family "Eukaryotic small subunit ribosomal RNA", at positions 371 to 813 of the family's 1831-position model. The record is from RNAcentral.